AGAAAUUGAUGGAAAUUCUUGAAAAUCCGCAAUAACUUUUUAUUGGGUGUACCGAUUUUGAUAAUUCUUUUUUUGUUGAAAAGGGGAUAUCCCUAGUUUGGUACCAUGAUAAGGAAACCAGGAUCUGAUGAUGGGAUCCCAGAGAAAUCGAGGGAACUUCUUGAAAAUCCGCAAUAACUUUUUACUGGGUGUACCGAUUUUGAUGAUUUUUAAUUUAAUCGAAAGCUGAUGUUUAUCAUGUGGUCACAUUUAUUUCGGAUUUCAUUGAGAUCCGAUUACAAGUUUUUGAGUUAUCUUUGACUAGCUGGUACCCGCGACU
Molecule: unclassified non-coding RNA, 319 nt
Filed under: Melitaea cinxia (Glanville fritillary)
Lineage: Eukaryota; Metazoa; Arthropoda; Insecta; Lepidoptera; Nymphalidae
Description: misc RNA ENSMCXG00005020953.1
Source: RNAcentral